GAAAUGCGAUAAGUAAUGUGAAUUGCAGAAUUCAGUGAAUCAUCGAAUCUUUGAACGCACAUUGCGCCCGCCAGUAUUCUGGCGGGCAUGCCUGUCCGAGCGUCAUUUCAACCAUCAAGCCCCCGGGCUUGUGUUGGGGACCUGCGGCUGCCCGCAGGCCCUGAAAACCAGUGGCGGGCUCGCUGUCACACCGAGCGUAGUAGCAAUCACCUCGCUCGGGGCGUGCUACGGGUUCCGGCCGUUAAACAGCCUUACAAAACCCAAGGUUGACCUCGAAUCAGGUAGGAAUACCCGCUGAACUUAAGC
Molecule: unclassified non-coding RNA, 306 nt
Filed under: plant metagenome
Description: partial contains 5.8S ribosomal RNA, internal transcribed spacer 2, and large subunit ribosomal RNA
Rfam family: 5.8S ribosomal RNA (bases 1-105)
Source: RNAcentral